Molecule: long non-coding RNA, 853 nt
Organism: Scatophagus argus
Lineage: Eukaryota; Metazoa; Chordata; Actinopteri; Scatophagidae
Exons: 3
Source: RefSeq, a predicted model, not a curated record
AGCACAGCCAUUAAAAUAAGAGCUUGUGGUAACAUACAGUGUGAUUAGAAAACCAGAGUGCUUCUCACAGGAACAGCAAUUGUGUUGAAGAAACAUCACUGCUUUUACAGACAAUGACUCCUGUGCUUUCAGGUGUGGUUGUCAGAGAGCCCUGAGGCUACAUGAGGCAUACAAUCCUUACCUGGUCCUUAACGGGGGUGACGUAGCCCUUAUCCCUCCAGUCCAGGGCACGUGGGGCCUCCAGGAAGUUGGGCUCCAUGAACAGGGACCCCUUGACUUUCCUCUCUGACCUGCGCUUGUAUCCGUUCAUGAUCUGCCUGAAUUCCUCGUGAGUCUGUAGAGAGGUAAAGUGAAUCACGGGAUCUGCUGCGGAGGCGGCGUUGAGCCAGGAAACCAGCCUGGACAUGGGAAACAGAACCAGGAAAACGAAAAGAAAACCAAAACUUUAGCCAGCAGCUACCAGAAAGCGGUCCUUUCAACCGGAUCCACUCCUGCUGGAGGAUGUUUCCCCUCGUAAUUUAAACCAAGAGAAAGAAACUUGCAAUGGCUGCUCUAAGCUAUAGGAGGGGAGACGACGACAAAGGCAGCCGAAUGAAACAAGAUGGCUAAUGCCGGCGGAUAACAAUAAAAAUGUGGGUAUUUUGACUUCACAGAUAAAUAAAAAUGACACAUUAAGUAGAAAUUCUUUAAACUGACACUGGGAUGUCGUUUAUUCUGGGCUCAAAUGUCGGGAAAAAUUAGAGAAAAAAACAAAUAAUCAUCAUUAUAAUUGCUUUAUAGUCUCAUUGUCGGCGUCGAGCUCGGAUAUUCUGCUAACAAAAAGCAAGAUGAGAAGAUGAAUGAUGAAAAAAAA